CAGUCGCCACGGGAAUACGAAGGGGGCUAGCGUUGUUCGGAUUUACUGGGCGUAAAGGGCGCGUAGGCAGACUGAUAAGUCAGGGGUGAAAUCCCAAGGCUCAACCUUGGAACUGCCUUUGAUACUGUUUGUCUUGAGUUCGAGAGAGGUAAGUGGAACUGCGAGUGUAGAGGUGAAAUUCGUAGAUAUUCGCAAGAACACCAGUGGCGAGGGCGACACACUGGCCCAUUACUGACGCUGAGGCUCGAAAGCGUGGGGAGCAAACAGGAUUAGAUACCCCCGUAGUCCCUGUCUCUUAUAA
Molecule: ribosomal RNA, 301 nt
Filed under: uncultured bacterium
Lineage: Bacteria
Description: partial 16S ribosomal RNA
Rfam family: Bacterial small subunit ribosomal RNA
Source: RNAcentral